This 956-nucleotide ribosomal RNA is filed under the name Staphylococcus aureus. RNAcentral's name for it is "partial 23S ribosomal RNA". It matches the Rfam family "Bacterial large subunit ribosomal RNA", at positions 16 to 968 of the family's 2925-position model. Lineage: Bacteria; Bacillati; Bacillota; Bacilli; Caryophanales; Staphylococcaceae. The record is from RNAcentral.
GGCGCACGGUGGAUGCCUUGGCACUAGAAGCCGAUGAAGGACGUUACUAACGACGAUAUGCUUUGGGGAGCUGUAAGUAAGCUUUGAUCCAGAGAUUUCCGAAUGGGGAAACCCAGCAUGAGUUAUGUCAUGUUAUCGAUAUGUGAAUACAUAGCAUAUCAGAAGGCACACCCGGAGAACUGAAACAUCUUAGUACCCGGAGGAAGAGAAAGAAAAUUCGAUUCCCUUAGUAGCGGCGAGCGAAACGGGAAGAGCCCAAACCAACAAGCUUGCUUGUUGGGGUUGUAGGACACUCUAUACGGAGUUACAAAGGACGACAUUAGACGAAUCAUCUGGAAAGAUGAAUCAAAGAAGGUAAUAAUCCUGUAGUCGAAAAUGUUGUCUCUCUUGAGUGGAUCCUGAGUACGACGGAGCACGUGAAAUUCCGUCGGAAUCUGGGAGGACCAUCUCCUAAGGCUAAAUACUCUCUAGUGACCGAUAGUGAACCAGUACCGUGAGGGAAAGGUGAAAAGCACCCCGGAAGGGGAGUGAAAUAGAACCUGAAACCGUGUGCUUACAAGUAGUCAGAGCCCGUUAAUGGGUGAUGGCGUGCCUUUUGUAGAAUGAACCGGCGAGUUACGAUUUGAUGCAAGGUUAAGCAGUAAAUGUGGAGCCGUAGCGAAAGCGAGUCUGAAUAGGGCGUUUAGUAUUUGGUCGUAGACCCGAAACCAGGUGAUCUACCCUUGGUCAGGUUGAAGUUCAGGUAACACUGAAUGGAGGACCGAACCGACUUACGUUGAAAAGUGAGCGGAUGAACUGAGGGUAGCGGAGAAAUUCCAAUCGAACCUGGAGAUAGCUGGUUCUCUCCGAAAUAGCUUUAGGGCUAGCCUCAAGUGAUGAUUAUUGGAGGUAGAGCACUGUUUGGACGAGGGGCCCCUCUCGGGUUACCGAAUUCAGACAAACUCCGAAUGCCAAUU